ACGUAGGGGGCAAGCGUUAUCCGGAUUUACUGGGUGUAAAGGGAGCGUAGACGGCGCUGCAAGUCUGAAGUGAAAGCCCGGGGCUCAACCCCGGGACUGCUUUGGAAACUGUAAUGCUAGAGUGCUGGAGAGGUAAGUGGAAUUCCUAGUGUAGCGGUGAAAUGCGUAGAUAUUAGGAGGAACACCAGUGGCGAAGGCGGCUUACUGGACAGUAACUGACGUUGAGGCUCGAAAGCGUGGGGAGCAAACAG
This 251-nucleotide ribosomal RNA is filed under the name uncultured bacterium. RNAcentral describes it as "partial 16S ribosomal RNA". It matches the Rfam family "Bacterial small subunit ribosomal RNA", at positions 525 to 775 of the family's 1533-position model. The record is from RNAcentral.